CAGUCGCCGCGGUAAUACGUAGGGUGCGAGCGUUAAUCGGAAUUACUGGGCGUAAAGCGUGCGCAGGCGGUUUGUUAAGACAGAUGUGAAAUCCCCGGGCUUAACCUGGGAACUGCAUUUGUGACUGGCCGGCUAGAGUAUGGCAGAGGGAGGUGGAAUUCCACGUGUAGCAGUGAAAUGCGUAGAUAUGUGGAGGAACACCGAUGGCGAAGGCAGCCUCCUGGGCCAAUACUGACGCUCAUGCACGAAAGCGUGGGGAGCAAACAGGAUUAGAUACCCGAGUAGUCCCUGUCUCUUAUAU
Molecule: ribosomal RNA, 301 nt
Filed under: uncultured bacterium
Lineage: Bacteria
Description: partial 16S ribosomal RNA
Rfam family: Bacterial small subunit ribosomal RNA
Source: RNAcentral